AUGCACGCUGGCGGCGUGCCUAAUCCCUGCCAGUCGCGCGAACAGACGAGGAGCUUGCUCCUCUGACGUUAGCGGCGGACGGGUGAGUAACACGUGGAUAACCUACCUAUAAGACUGGGAUAACUUCGGGAAACCGGAGCUAAUACCGGAUAACAUGUUGAACCGCAUGGUUCAACAGUGAAGGACGGUCUUGCUGUCACUUAUAGAUGGAUCCGCGCCGCAUUAGCUAGUUGGUAAGGUAACGGCUUACCAAGGCAACGAUGCGUAGCCGACCUGAGAGGGUGAUCGGCCACACUGGAACUGAGACACGGUCCAGACUCCUACGGGAGGCAGCAGUAGGGAAUCUUCCGCAAUGGGCGAAAUCCUGACGGAGCAACGCCGCGUUAGUGAAGAAGGUCUUCGGAUCGUAAAACUCUGUUAUUAGGGAAGAACAAAUGUGUAAGUAACUAUGCACGUCUUGACGGUACCUAAUCAGAAAGCCACGGCUAACUACGUG
RNAcentral lists this ribosomal RNA (496 nucleotides) under uncultured bacterium. Its description in RNAcentral is "partial 16S ribosomal RNA". It matches the Rfam family "Bacterial small subunit ribosomal RNA", at positions 29 to 507 of the family's 1533-position model. The record is from RNAcentral.